GACGAACGCUGGCGGCGUGCCUAAUACAUGCAAGUAGAACGCUGAAGAGAGGAGCUUGCUCUUCUUGGAUGAGUUGCGAACGGGUGAGUAACGCGUAGGUAACCUGCCUUGUAGCGGGGGAUAACUAUUGGAAACGAUAGCUAAUACCGCAUAACAAUGGAUGACACAUGUCAUUUAUUUGAAAGGGGCAAUUGCUCCACUACAAGAUGGACCUGCGUUGUAUUAGCUAGUAGGUGAGGUAAUGGCUCACCUAGGCGACGAUACAUAGCCGACCUGAGAGGGUGAUCGGCCACACUGGGAAUGAGACACGGCCCAGACUCCUACGGGAGGCAGCAGUAGGGAAUCUUCGGCAAUGGGGGCAACCCUGACCGAGCAACGCCGCGUGAGAGAAGAAGGGUUUCGGAUCGUAAAGCUCUGUUGUAAGUCAAGAACGGGUGUAAGAGUGGAAAGUUCACACUGUGACGGUAGCUUACCAGAAAGAGACGGCUAACUACGUG
RNAcentral lists this ribosomal RNA (497 nucleotides) under uncultured bacterium. RNAcentral's name for it is "partial 16S ribosomal RNA". It matches the Rfam family "Bacterial small subunit ribosomal RNA", at positions 28 to 507 of the family's 1533-position model. The record is from RNAcentral.